Long non-coding RNA from Bactrocera tryoni, 1819 nucleotides. RefSeq lists it as uncharacterized. The transcript has 5 exons. The record is from RefSeq and is a predicted model, not a curated record. NCBI's taxonomy places the organism in Eukaryota, Metazoa, Arthropoda, Insecta, Diptera, Tephritidae.
CUUUUGCAUUUGCAAAUAUAUAUUCACGAAACUUUGUAUAGAAAUGUGGGAAAUAAUUAAUUCAAAUUCAGAAGUAUUUAGGGAGUAAAAUCAGUAUUAAAAUAUGUUGAAAGGAAAAACACUCUCAGAAAGGAUUUCUGGAUCCUCUACUGGCUGUAACUUAGCUUAGUGCUCAAAUGCCACUGGAAGUGAUAAACUCCAGCAAAAAAAAGCAAAGAAUCCACGCUGUUUUAAAAAUUUUCUGUGUUCCAUUGAGUACAAGUAAUCAAAUUCUGUCUGGAUGACGUCGGCUGUUAUUAAAGAAUGGCUUCAGAAAUCAUUCGUUCCGCAGGAGAGAAACUUGCCAAUUAAAGACCUAUUAAAGACCUAAUCGGCAACGCCCCUUUCUUCUAGAUGAGCUGAACUGAUACUGGGAAAUGAAAAAAAAAUCGCAAUGUUUAUGCCACCAAACGUAAAUCAUUCAUCCGAUGGAUCAGAAUGCAAUAAAAAUUACGAAGCUGCACUACAAAAACAGCCUUCUAGCUUCAGCAGCAUCUACGAAAUCUGAUUUGCUCAUUGACUGGAGAAGCUAACAUUAAAAGCUGCAAUAAAUCUUUAGGAAGGUGCUUAAAGUCGUGCCAUUGAAGAAACCCUAGCUAAUUGCUGGAAGAAUAUUUUAAAUUUUGCGGAAAACGAUGAUAAUCCUGAAGAUGGUAUGCCAUUGGCAGUUUUAAAAAUGGGAAGCUGAACUUCGCUCCUUCAUGAGCAACUCCAACAAUCUCCUUCACAGUUUAAAUACUGAGAUUUUAGAAUGAAUGUACGUUAGCAACCCUUCGUGAAUGGAGCAAAGACAUUAAAGUAGAUAAUGCGGACGACGAUAUUGAAUCAGCGGACGAAUCAGACGAAACUGCGUCUCAAAGACACCGGAGAACAUCAAACCAAAUGAAACAAUUGAAAGCUAUAAAGCGCUACAGUUGGCUAGUCAUGAAGGCGUCGAUCAAAACGAUGUGUAUUUCAAUUAUUAGAAUAACAGAAAUUGUAUUUCAACUACAAGGAAGCCCUUCACAAGGCAGCUAACAAGCGAACUCAGUUAGAUUGCCAUAUGACGGACCGGCUUGUAAUUUACUUGCAGUUUUUUAAGCACCUUGAACACUUCCUUUCAACUCCGACUUAAAAACACGAAUGAGUAUAAGCUGUUCCUUAUAUGAUUAAAAACUCUUUGCAGUGUUUCUUGUUGUAAAGGUCUAUGUACAGAGGAGGCGGCGAUUUAUCAGCAAAACCACGCCUGCGCACUUUGCCGAAGUCUGGCUGUGUGCGCAUUGGCUUAUCGGCUAAGUGCUAACCACAAGCGCAGAUGCUACGAAUUCCCUCGGCGAAUGCACACUUACAUGUGUAUGUAUGCGCAAGUAUAACUGUGCAUACCAAGAAGUAUGGAUGAUAAAAUGGAGCUAAAUGUUUUAAAUCAAAACCUAUAGAAAUUAUUCCAAAUACGGUAUAUGUGUAUUUAUGUAUGUAAUUACAGAAACAAUAAAGAAUAUAUACUGAUAUCUUAAGGCUUAAGUCACAUGCAUUCACAUUCCGCACAUGUGUAUGUAUGUAUGUAUGCCCGCCAAAAAACCCUGUUACGCAUACGGUCUGGAGCUUAUCAAGAGUGCCCAACACAGAAUUUAAUAAAGUUAUACCUAAAAAAUUAUACCUAAAAAUAAAAUGUAUAUAUACGGUAUAUAAUGUGAACGUUUAUGCGAAUAAUCUUGCAUUUAAGAUUGUUAGUUAUAACAUUCUUUUACACUUCAAGUUAAUAAAUUUUGAAAAGUUAAAAUACAUAUUUCUAGAACAUCGA